Molecule: ribosomal RNA, 252 nt
Filed under: uncultured bacterium
Lineage: Bacteria
Description: partial 16S ribosomal RNA
Rfam family: Bacterial small subunit ribosomal RNA
Source: RNAcentral
UACGUAGGGGGCAAGCGUUGUCCGGAAUUAUUGGGCGUAAAGCGCGCGCAGGCGGCUCUUUAAGUCUGGUGUUUAAUCCCGAGGCUCAACUUCGGGUCGCACUGGAAACUGGGGAGCUUGAGUGCAGAAGAGGAGAGUGGAAUUCCACGUGUAGCGGUGAAAUGCGUAGAUAUGUGGAGGAACACCAGUGGCGAAGGCGACUCUCUGGGCUGUAACUGACGCUGAGGCGCGAAAGCGUGGGGAGCGAACAGG